Molecule: ribosomal RNA, 549 nt
Filed under: uncultured Glomeromycotina
Lineage: Eukaryota; Fungi; Glomeromycota
Description: SSU rRNA
Rfam family: Eukaryotic small subunit ribosomal RNA
Source: RNAcentral
UUGGAGGGCAAGUCUGGUGCCAGCAGCCGCGGUAAUUCCAGCUCCAAUAGCGUAUAUUAAAGUUGUUGCAGUUAAAAAGCUCGUAGUUGAAUUUCGGGAUCAAUAUAUUGGUCGUGCCUCUGGUAUGCACUGGUAUUAUUGAUUUCUACCUUCUGACGAACUGUGAUGUCAUUAAUUUGGUGUCAUGGGGAAUCAGGACUGUUACUUUGAAAAAAUUAGAGUGUUUAAAGCAGGCACACGCUUGAAUACAUUAGCAUGGAAUAAUGAAAUAGGACGUUUGACCCUAUUUUGUUGGUUUCUAGGAUCGACGUAAUGAUUAAUAGGGAUAGUUGGGGGCAUUAGUAUUCAAUUGCCAGAGGUGAAAUUCUUGGAUUUAUUGAAGACUAACUACUGCGAAAGCAUUUGCCAAGGAUGUUUUCAUUAAUCAAGAACGAAAGUUAGGGGAUCGAAGACGAUCAGAUACCGUCGUAGUCUUAACCAUAAACUAUGCCGACUAGGGAUCGGAUGAUGUUAAUUUUUUAAUGACUCAUUCGGCGCCUUACGGGAAAC